UUGGCUGGAGCAGGGCGGCAGGGCGCGGCAGCCAAUCAGCGCACGGCUUCUAUAGGGCUUGAGUUAUUAGACGCUGAUCUCAAAACAUCCUUCAUCAGACACCAAGGAGAGGCCAACAAGAUGAGGGGAGCCAUUUUUCUGCAAUGGAAUUAAAUGGCCAAGUGGGUUUUUCCUUUGUUGCAAAUGGGGAAUGCUUUUCCUUUGACUCCACCAUCCAGUUCAGGACGCCUCAAUGUGGUGUUUAGCAUUUCUCAACAAGCUAAAGGACUCACAGUUGGAAGAAUGAAGAAGACUUUUUAAAAAGAUCUGGAUUUUUCCUUGUGACUUGGAAUCCAUCUUUGUCUUGUAUAACUAGGUCAUAGCACACCAUUAAUGUUCAGCAAUUAACAAUUUUGAAUUCCAAAAAACCUAAAGCAGUACACAGUCCUCAGCGAAGCCGCCUUUUGCCAACCUAACCCUGGAAAGUUUGCAGAAGUGGAAGGAGCAGAAAGUGCAUGAGAGUGUAACUUACAAAAAGGUUGAUCUUCCAGACUCCAUGGCACCGGGCUGAGCGGGCCCUUGACUGCAGAAGGGGCAGUGUGCCCAGUGACGCCCAGAGCAGACAAUCCCUCUUCCUUUGGACAGCAGGAGCAGGCCUAGUUUGACUCUGACAGUCCUCCCACCAAGAAAGUCCUGGUGAGGAGGAGAAUCACUGGGGUCGUCAGAACAUCUUGCAGAUUUGUACAAGUCUUUAUUCUGUUAUCAGUAGAGAUCGGAGCCUCAUUUCCCAGAAUGAGAAAGGGGAGUCUCGAGAUCUGAAGAUUUUAAGCAAAGGCAGGGCCCCUCGCACGGUCCUGGGGGCUUUGCUUCUGACCUGUCUCUGGCCUGGUCCCUCCUCUCCCGCCACCUUCAGCCUGCUGCUGCGGAAAGCUGGCUCAGCCCUCCAGGAUCUAACCCCUCUCUCUGGCUCCCUCCUCAUCCCCGAGCCACUGCUGAACCUAAUAGGGGCUCUCUAGUCUCAGUGCAUUUGCCCAGGCAAGGUACCCAUCCUACUUCCGCUUGCCUGCCCUCCCCAACAUUGUGAAGCUUAGUUCAUGUGCCACCCAUCUCCCAGCCUGCCCUGAGCCCCAAAGGGGUUCUGAUCUCUAAUUGUCCAAUUCCAUUAGACCAUGAGAGAUGUGAGCUCCUCGAGGGCAGGAAUACAAUUGCUGCUCAAUAAACAAGUGUUGCAAAAAAGGAA
This is a long non-coding RNA of Choloepus didactylus (southern two-toed sloth), 1219 nucleotides long. RefSeq lists it as uncharacterized. The transcript is spliced from 7 exons. NCBI's taxonomy places the organism in Eukaryota, Metazoa, Chordata, Mammalia, Pilosa, Megalonychidae. The record is from RefSeq and is a predicted model, not a curated record.